GAUGAAGAACGUAGCGAAAUGCGAUAAGUAAUGUGAAUUGCAGAAUUCAGUGAAUCAUCGAAUCUUUGAACGCACAUUGCGCCCGCCAGCACUCUGCCGGGCAUGCCUGUUCGAGCGUCAUUUCAACCAUCAAGCCCCCAGGGGCUUGUGCUGGGGCCCUGCGGCUGCCCGCAGGCCCUGAAAACCAGUGGCGGGCUCGCUAGUCACACCGAGCGCAGUAGCACAUCUCGCUCAGGGCGUGCGGCGGGCUCCUGCCGUGAAACCCCCCACUGUAACCCCAAAGGUUGACCUCGGAUCAGGUAGGAAUACCCGCUGAACUUAAGCAUAUCAAUAAGCGGAGGA
RNAcentral lists this unclassified non-coding RNA (342 nucleotides) under soil metagenome. Its description in RNAcentral is "partial contains 5.8S ribosomal RNA, internal transcribed spacer 2, and large subunit ribosomal RNA". The stretch from base 1 to 120 matches the Rfam family "5.8S ribosomal RNA", at positions 35 to 154 of the family's 154-position model. The record is from RNAcentral.